GUGGGGAAUAUUGGACAAUGGGCGCAAGCCUGAUCCAGCCAUGCCGCGUGAGUGAUGAAGGCCUUAGGGUUGUAAAGCUCUUUCAGUGGGGACGAUAAUGACGGUACCCACAGAAGAAGCCCCGGCUAACUUCGUGCCAGCAGCCGCGGUAAUACGAAGGGGGCUAGCGUUGUUCGGAUUUACUGGGCGUAAAGCGCACGUAGGCGGAUCGUUAAGUCGGGGGUGAAAUCCUGGAGCUCAACUCCAGAACUGCCUUCGAUACUGGCGAUCUUGAGUCCGGAAGAGGUGAGUGGAACUCCUAGUGUAGAGGUGGAAUUCGUAGAUAUUCGGAGGAACACCAGUGGCGAAGGCGGCUCACUGGCUCGAUACUGACGCUGAGGUGCGAAAGCGUGGGGAGCAAACAGGAUUAGAAACCCGGGUAGUCC
This 425-nucleotide ribosomal RNA is filed under the name uncultured bacterium. RNAcentral describes it as "partial 16S ribosomal RNA". It matches the Rfam family "Bacterial small subunit ribosomal RNA", at positions 354 to 796 of the family's 1533-position model. The record is from RNAcentral.